This 298-nucleotide signal recognition particle RNA is filed under the name Cebus imitator (Panamanian white-faced capuchin). RNAcentral's name for it is "Metazoan signal recognition particle RNA (ENSCCAG00000001625.1)". It matches the Rfam family "Metazoan signal recognition particle RNA". Rfam says of the family: The signal recognition particle (SRP) is a universally conserved ribonucleoprotein. It is involved in the co-translational targeting of proteins to membranes. The record is from RNAcentral. Lineage: Eukaryota; Metazoa; Chordata; Mammalia; Primates; Cebidae.
GCCAGGCGCAGUGGCACGUGCCUGUAGUCCCAGGUACUCGGAGGCUGAGGUGGGAAGAUUGCUUGAGCCCCGGAGUUCUGAGCUGUAGUGCGCUAUGCUGAUUGAGUGUCCGCACUAAGUUCGGCAUCAAUAUGGUGACCUCCUAGGAGCGAGGGAACACCAGGUUGCCUAAGGAGGGUUAAAUCAGCUCAGGUCGGAAACGGAGCAGGUCAAAACUCCCAUGAUGACCAGUAGUAGGAUUGCACCUGUGAAUAGCCACUGCAGUCUAGCCUGGGCAAGAUAGAGAGACCCUGUCUCU